RNAcentral lists this ribosomal RNA (601 nucleotides) under Pelophylax nigromaculatus (dark-spotted frog). RNAcentral describes it as "partial large subunit ribosomal RNA". It matches the Rfam family "Bacterial large subunit ribosomal RNA", at positions 1796 to 2621 of the family's 2925-position model. Lineage: Eukaryota; Metazoa; Chordata; Amphibia; Anura; Ranidae. The record is from RNAcentral.
UCGCCUGUUUUUACAAAAACAUCGCCUCUUGAUUAAACAUAAGAGGUCCAGCCUGCCCAGUGACAUAGUUUAACGGCCGCGGUACCCUAACCGUGCGAAGGUAGCAUAAUCACUUGUUCUUUAAAUAGGGACUCGUAUCAACGGCAUCACGAGGGCUAUACUGUCUCCUUUCUCCAAUCAAUGAAACUGAUCUCCCCGUGAAGAAGCGGGGAUUAACCUAUAAGACGAGAAGACCCCAUGGAGCUUCAAACUCAACAUAUACCUCUACGCACUUAAACCACUUUAGCCCAAGAGACCUCUAUGUUAGUUUUGGGUUGGGGGGACCGCGGAGUAAAAAUUAACCUCCACGACAAACGGGCUUUAUGCCCUUAUCCACGAACUACAACUCUAAGAAUCAAUAAACUGAUGUUUAUGACCCGAUUAUUCGAUCAACGAACCAAGUUACCCUGGGGAUAACAGCGCAAUCUACUUCAAGAGCCCCUAUCGACAAGUAGGUUUACGACCUCGAUGUUGGAUCAGGGUAUCCUAGUGGUGCAGCCGCUACUAAUGGUUCGUUUGUUCAACGAUUAAAACCCUACGUGAUCUGAUUCCCAGAACCGGA